Molecule: ribosomal RNA, 438 nt
Filed under: uncultured bacterium
Lineage: Bacteria
Description: bacterial SSU rRNA
Rfam family: Bacterial small subunit ribosomal RNA
Source: RNAcentral
UGAGGAAUAUUGGUCAAUGGGCGAGAGCCUGAACGAGCAAUGCCGCGUGAACGAGGAAGGUCUUCGGAUCGUAAAGUUCUGUUGAGAGGGAAAAAGGGUCACCAGAGGAAAUGCUGGUGAAGUGAUAUUACCUUUCGAGGAAGUCACGGCUAACUACGUGCCAGCAGCCGCGGUAAUACGUAGGUGGCGAGCGUUAUCCGGAAUGAUUGGGCGUAAAGGGUGCGUAGGCGGCCUGUUAAGUCUGAAGUGAAAGGUACCGGCUCAACCGGUAUAGGCUUUGGAAACUGGCAGGCUGGAGGACAGGAGAGGGCGGUGGAACUCCAUGUGUAGCGGUAAAAUGCGUAGAUAUAUGGAAGAACACCAGUGGCGAAGGCGGCCGCCUGGCCUGUUACUGACGCUGAGGCACGAAAGCGUGGGGAGCAAAUUGGAUUAGAUACC